CCUACGGGUGGCAGCAGUGGGGAAUAUUGCACAAUGGGGGAAACCCUGAUGCAGCGACGCCGCGUGGGUGACGAAGUAUUUCGGUAUGUAAAGCCCUAUCAGCAGGGAAGAAGAUGACAGUACCUGACCAAGAAGCCCCGGCUAACUACGUGCCAGCAGCCGCGGUAAUACGUAGGGGGCAAGCGUUAUCCGGAUUUACUGGGUGUAAAGGGAGCGUAGGUGGCAUGGCAAGCCAGAAGUGAAAACCCGGGGCUUAACCCCGCGGAUUGCUUUUGGAACUGUCAGGCUGGAGUGCAGGUGGGGCAGGCGGAAUUCCUGGUGUAGCGGUGAAAUGCGUAGAUAUCAGGAGGAACACCGGUGGCGAAGGCGGCCUGCUGGACUGUAACUGACACUGAGGCUCGAAAGCGUGGGGAGCAAACAGGAUUAGAUACCCUUGUAGUC
RNAcentral lists this ribosomal RNA (441 nucleotides) under uncultured bacterium. Its description in RNAcentral is "partial 16S ribosomal RNA". It matches the Rfam family "Bacterial small subunit ribosomal RNA", at positions 338 to 795 of the family's 1533-position model. The record is from RNAcentral.